Molecule: RNA transcript, 3985 nt
Organism: Papaver somniferum (opium poppy)
Lineage: Eukaryota; Viridiplantae; Streptophyta; Magnoliopsida; Ranunculales; Papaveraceae
Gene name: transcriptional regulator Myc-A-like
Exons: 11
Source: RefSeq, a predicted model, not a curated record
UCUCUCUGCAGCUCUCACCAAAACACAAAGGAAAAAUAUCACACAGUGAACUAUUUCCUCUGAAAUCCCACCACCAUCAAAACCUUUUUCACUGAAAACCCACCACCAUCCAACCAAUUUAUCUGAAGUUAUUAAAAAAAAAUUCUUAAAAACUCUUUGUUCAACCAAUUUCGUGUUUGAUAGAAACCCAGUUUCUUUUGAUGUGCAAUUAUCCAGUUUCGAUCUCAAUUUUGUCUACAGUUUGAGUGCUACUGAAAAAGUCUUUGUUCCAGAUCUAUUUGUUCUUCGUAAACGAAGUACAUUUUCGUUUCUCAAGGAAGGAAGAAGACCGUUUGUGGGCAAAUUUCUGUUGCAAACUAUGCAUGAAUAGAGCUUGGCCUGGUAUUGGAGAAGAAGCUCUGAAAGGUAUCAUUGAGAAUAAGAUUCAUGGGAAAGAUGGUGACGGAACAAAGAUCGUUGAUGGGAAAUUGUAUCCAUAAAAUAUGGUGAUAACUUCAAAGUUGUCCUUAUAUUUUCGUGAUAAUGUUGGUAUAUUUGACGUGGCUGAUGAAAAUUUUCGGAAGCUGGAGAAGAAGUACAAGGAGGUCGGGUUCUCUUCGUGCUUGCAUUCUAGGAUUCAGGCACUUGGGAGGACUCACAUUAAAUAUCUUCGAGGCUAGUGCUUUUGAGGGAUCAGUUUUCACUCACUUAGAUGCCAAACCAGGUAUGGUUGUCAAGGGGAAGGUAACUGUAGUUGCAGGAAUUCCUACACUACACCCCUCAUAAGAAUUCAUUAACAAUCAACACAUUUUAAGAUCAACAAUUACAAAUUUUAUUGAUUAAUUCUCUCAAAUCUUACCAGAAGGGAAAGAAAUGAAGCCAAGAAAAUAACAAUUGUUCUAGACUUUCUCUCUCCUAUUUACUUGCUCCACACUCGAAAAAGAUCUCUCUCCUUCCUUACGCCUGAUCGGCUCCUUAUAUUGGGUAUUACAUAGUGAAUGGCAACUAAUUUAACCUUUAUUUUCGGAUCUGGCUUGCGGUAUUUUCGCAAGCUUACAAAUGUUAACUCCGCGAACUUCCUAAUUUUCGCAAGAUCAUCACACUUUUCUCAUGUUUAAGCUGAUGUCAUUUGUUAUGUCAUUUCUGAAAUCAUUCUGCGAUGUCUUCGCGAUAUGUUGCUAAUAAUUUUGCAAGUGUGUCGUUGUUGCGAGAUUCUGACCCUAUAUCUUUCCUCUUCUCAUGUCUUCUCCGCGAAGGAGAGAAUGAUAUGAGAAAUUGUACUUCGAAAUGUCGCAGCUAUCCAUCUUUUCAUAUUCUUCAAUGCUGAAUUUAUUACACGUAUCUCUUCUUCCAUCCAUUUCUUGACACGUCUUUUUCAACCGUUAUUUCUCAACCGUUCACAUCUUCUCUUUUCAUUAAAUGUGUUUAUCUUCUCGAGAACUCUUCUCUAUAUAUAUUCUUCUCAUUCUUCUCUUUUUCUCUUUUUACUUUCUUCUUAAUUUUUCUGCAAUUUUACUGUUCCUCAGCAAAUUCCGCUGCUGCAAUUUUUUCUUCUUUCUUCCUCUUUCGAUCUUUUUAAAUCCUUCUUCAUUCCCAUACCCAGACAUGCCUCCAAGUGGCCAUAAACAUGAAAAAACUUUCGAAGGAAUCCAAAGAGAUCUCAAAGGGAGAGGUUUUACACUUUCUACUAUUCCUGGUGAAAGUGCUAAAUCUGUUCUCACUGCUAAACUACUUUCUGAUCAUCAUUGUGAUGAUCAAGAAAUCAUAGUUUCUCUUGGUCAGAUUCUCGCUGGCCUUCCUAUCCCUCUUUAUGAUCCCAAUUUUCCCCUAUUUUAUGAAAUUCUUUCUCAUGCGAACUUCUCGCGAGCCAUCUACCAAUUAAGUGGGGACUGCAUUCGUCUGAUGCUUGAGUUCGUUAACCGUGGUGCUGGUAAAGGAUCUCUUUAUCCCAAAGAAGCUAGGGAUCCUGAAUUUGUAAAUUUGGAGAUACUCGCUGAAAAAUACACAGUAGAGGGCUUCUUUGAAAAUUAUGAAUUAGUACCUAUGAAGAAAGAGAGCACUCGCUGGGGUGUUCGCUUGAAGAGAAAAGAUAAUAUCGCUGAUGAUAAAAUGCUCAUGCAAGAUAUCGAUUAGCACUCUGGUAAGAACAAUACUCCUCAUCAAUCUAAAGAUGAUAGAUGGUGUGUCUUCCCCUUGAUGUUGAAAGGGCCUUAUAUUGCUGGCUCAAAUGUUCUUCCCGCGAAUCUCGCUACUUAUCAACCUUGGGUAUUUAAUUGGCCUGAGAAGGAGAAAGAAAUUGAAAAGUUGAAAUCGAGUUACAACAGAACUGGGAAGGCUAACACUUUGUCAUCUCUUCGCUCAAUCACAGAUGAAGUUAUCGUUGAAAGAGAAGAGUAUGCCAAAGUUGCGAAGACUAAGGGUAAAGGUAAAUGUGCUCUUCGCAAGGAAAAAUCAACUGCCCCAUCUUCAAAGAAAAGAAAAGUCCGUUCUCCCUCUCCUUCGAAUUCUCAUUCUGAUGAAAGCUCCGAUGAUGAUGAUGAUGAUGAUAACUCUUUCGCAAAUAAAGAUUCUCUACCUGAAUCUUCUAUGACACAAUUGUUUAGCAUCUUUUCUGAUUCCAUGCAAGCAAUUGGAGAUGAUCACCUCACCAACACAUGCAAAGCUCUUGCGAAUAUCUGUGAUGCUCCUUUAUUGGAUGGUGAUGAUUCUCUUUGCAGAGUCUCCAGAUCAGUAACUCCAAGUUUUCUGAAUUCUCUUGGUAUUCUGACUGGAAAAGCUUCCUUCGCUGUUGCCUCAGAUUUGGAAAAAAGACGUAGGGCUCUUGAAAAGAAAAAUCUUCAACUUCGCAAGAGGAAUGAAGAAUUGGAAGCUUAGGUUGUUGGUCUUGGCGAGAAGAAUAAGCAAUUGGGAGCUGAAAUCUCCUUUCAGAAGGAUAAGAUUUCUAGCCUUCAAAAUGCCAAUGAUCAACUCUAUGACGUUUAUGGUCUUUCUGAUGAAGCCACCCUUAUUCGCACAUUCCCCAAUUCUAUGGAUAAUGAUACUCUUCUUGAACACCUUAACAAUUCUUUAAAUAAUUUUUCAAAUGACAAAAUUAAAUCUCUCUCCCUAAAUGAACCCAGAUCCAAACUUCGCCACUUAGAAAUUGACCAUAGAUCCAGCUUGGGCUUAGCCAACAAAUUUAAGCGUUUCUAUCUUGACUCUAAAGAGGAAAUUAAUAUUCUAAGAACCAAGAACAGUGGCCUCAUAGAUGAUAAAGACCAUAUCGCUAUCCAAGGUGCUCAAACUUUGGCGAAAUUCCAUGAAGCUCUUCUUGAGGUUCAAAUUGAACGAGAUGAAGCUAACCGCAAAAAUGUUGUACUUAACGAAAGAGAGAGUCAAGUUCGUUCCCGUCUUCUCAUAAUUAAUGAUGAUGAAUUCGCUUGGGCUGCGAAAGUUUUAGAUGACGCCAGAAAUAAUCUAGGUGUAAAUGUUAGUCUCCAAGCUGAGCACACGGUCUUGGUUAGAGAUAUGAUUUCUGACAGAGAAGGAGCUGAAGAAAGAUUUCGCAAAAUAAUUGAAGAGCUUGAGGCUGAAAAAAAGCAGCUCGUAAAGAAUCUUUCUUAUCGCAAUGAUAAAUGUUCUAGACUGAAGAAUCAAUUAAAGAUCAUUGUUGCGAAUUUUAGGAAUGAUGCUGUUCUUUUUCGCAACCAAACUAUUAAAAUGGUUUGUGAUGAUCAUAACAUUCUUCACUCCGCAUAUCCUUGCCUCUCAGAUGAAGUUCCAAAGAAUGCUCCUAAUCUAGUCAUCUCUGAUAGUGAAGCUGGUGAGUAUGAAGAUGAAGAAUCUGAUGAAGAUGAAGAAGAAGAAAAGUCUGAUGAAGAUGAUGAAGAAUCAAUCAAGAAAUAACUUUGAUUCCUUCUUUGAUCUUUUGUAAUAUUUGUAUAUUUAUUCCUUCUUCUUGUAAUCUAUUACUGCGAAUUCCUUUAGUUUCCAAUACUUCUCAAUAUAUGAGCUUCUUUUGUUUCUA